GAGUAGGAGAAAUGAGAACCACAGGAAGGAGUAGGAGAAAGGAGGUGGUACAUAUCGUGGUCAUAUCGAGAAUAAGACAUACUGGUUUGAAAACUACACUGUUCAUGAUAGGGAAACAUAAUACAGGGAAAUGUGACUACUGUGGAGAAGAGGAAACUAGAGAACAUGUUAUAUUGUCAGAAGUAUCAGGUGGAGAAAAGACAACUGACCCGAAACCUCAGAAACAUAAAAAUGAAGCUAGAUCUUAUUGAUUUACUGCAAAUGGUCUCAAGAAGUGAAAGUUAUCAGGCCUUAAUUCAGUUUUUAAAAGAAAGUAAAUUGUUUGGGAGGAUUUGGGGUUUUUUUUUUGGUGGCGGUAAUGCAUCCUUCAGUUGUUUGCCAACCGCCAAUCAAAUUUAAAAGAAGAAGAAGAGGCGUCGAGGUGGAGGGACGAUUUAAAACUAGACAAAUAGAAACGGUGAAUUCAGCAUAAGUACCACGUUACAAUGACGAGAGAAGUGAAGGUUAAAACCCCCAGCAGGCCUCCUCCAAAAAAACCCUCCAGCAACCAGACGGACCCAGUUGGGCUUUUGGUGCAGUUUGCAGAGAUGAUGCAAGUGGAGGAAGUGGCCAGGCCAGCGGACAGACCAAUCUGUAGCGCUACUCCAGGCCGUCAUCAUAGAAACCAGGCAUUCAAAGAUGAGCUGUCUCACAGAUUGGAAGAACGCAGUGGCCCGAUAGUUCCUGGUAAAAAAAAAAAUUAAU
Molecule: long non-coding RNA, 744 nt
Organism: Pundamilia nyererei
Lineage: Eukaryota; Metazoa; Chordata; Actinopteri; Cichliformes; Cichlidae
Exons: 3
Source: RefSeq, a predicted model, not a curated record